Myotis daubentonii (Daubenton's bat) is the source of this 514-nucleotide long non-coding RNA. RefSeq lists it as uncharacterized. NCBI's taxonomy places the organism in Eukaryota, Metazoa, Chordata, Mammalia, Chiroptera, Vespertilionidae. The record is from RefSeq and is a predicted model, not a curated record. The transcript has 3 exons.
UUCUCCGGCGCCAGGGGGACCGGGACGCAGGAGUCCCUUUGCGCCCCCAGCGCCUGGCUGCGCCGCUGCCCUGACCCAGACGCCGCCGUGCGCCCAGAGGCCUCCAGGGGCUGGGGCUGGAGCCGCCCAGCCCCCCGGCUCCCCAGCGCCGGCCACUUUGGUCCCUGGACUGUGUCGCGCCUAAAGGCCCGCGUUCCCGCAGCCUGUGAAGACCCGCGGAAGACCUGGCGGUUGGGAAGAGGUCGCCAAAGGCGACACACCAGCGUCCAGCUCCCGGCCAAGCCCAGUGAGUCUGCAGGAACCAGACCCUUCACCCUUCACCUGGCUUGGGACUCGGAGCUGCAGGAAGAUCUUUCUAGUUCAGCGUAGACUCAACGCCAGGGCGCCGCCUAGAGGACGCGAGGGGAUGUAAACCGUUUGAAGUUCAUCAACACGGUGAAGUUUUAUUGUAUUUCCGGUCCCCAAGAUUUAUACCCGGGAGGGGGAGCGGGCGGCCAGGCAGACUUCUUCGCUC